UCCCAGGUGACGCAGUGGUAAAGAAUCUGCCUGCAAUGCAGGAGACCCGGGUUCAAUCCCUGGGUUGGGAA
Molecule: non-coding RNA, 71 nt
Organism: Bos taurus (domestic cattle)
Lineage: Eukaryota; Metazoa; Chordata; Mammalia; Artiodactyla; Bovidae
Source: Rfam